GUGAUUAAGUCAUGAGAGUGGAACCCUCAUAAAUGAGAUUAGUGCCUUGGUAAAAGAGGUGCAAGGGAACUGUUCACCCCUUCCUCCAGGUGAAGAGCCACAAGAAGAUGCCAUAUUGGAAGCAGAAAGCAAGCCCUCGCCAGGCACUGAAUCUGCUUGAUCUGGGACUUCCCAGCAUCUAGAACUAGAAACAGAACCAAUGGGAUGUACAUAAAGAGAUUUAUUGUAAGAAAUCGGCACAUGUGAUUAUGGAGGCUGACAAAUCCCAAGAUCUGCAGGGGGAGGUGGCAAGCUGGAGACUCAGAAGCUGUUUCGGAAAAAAAGAAAUAGAGGUUUAAAGAACACAGAACAUACCUUCAACCGUCAUGGCAGGGUGGUGGACCACGAGGAAAUGACUGUGACAAGUCAGCUAAUCUUGGAACAAAUUAGGGAAGGAAAUGAUGAACAACAGCUGCAAAGAAAAAAAUGCAAGAAUUUGCAAAUGAUGUCCACUUUGUCUUUAAUUUACCCAAUGCUGGAAAGAAUACUGGUCACCUCACUUUUCGGUAAUAUACGCACCAUCGUCUUCAGACACAGAAGAAUGAGAAAUAAUUAAAAGUCACUGAGACGGCUCUCACCUCCUGUACUUCAUUAUCACACAAUGUCUUGCUAGAGAGGCAUUUUCAUUCCAGAUGAAUAUGUGGUUGAUUAGCGCUUUUCCAAAAGCAAAUUGUCUGAGGUUCUCUGUACUGCAUUUCCUGGUACCAAUUCCUCAUUAAGGUGAUUCAUGAAUUUUUUUUCAAUUAGGUUCGUAUGUCUUUUUAAAAAUCAAUUUGGUGUCUACCUUUCAACUAAAUGAAUGAGCCAGUGUAUCAUUCAGACAGGUGUGGACUUGCAUAACUAUUAAGUUAAAUGAGCCUUUCAUAGAAUUGAGAAAAUGGGCAAGGAUUAAAAGUGGAAUCUGAACAGGAAUCACUAUUUCAAAAAGAACAAAUUAGAAAAUAUGAAUAAACAGGUGAACUACAUGAGCCCUUCCAUUCAGAAUAGCAUGGCGGGUAAGCAUGGGCUCUGGAGUCAGACUUCUCUGAGUUCCAAUCUUGGCUCUUUUGCUAACUUCCUUUGUAAUUAAACAAGGUCGUAACACUUUCCACCUCUCAGCUUUUUCAUGUGUGAGAUGAGAUCAUGAUAGCAGCUGUGUCCUUGGGUGGUGGUGAGAAUUAAAUGGGAAAUCGCCUUUAAAGCACUGAAC
Molecule: long non-coding RNA, 1228 nt
Filed under: Homo sapiens (human)
Lineage: Eukaryota; Metazoa; Chordata; Mammalia; Primates; Hominidae
Description: non-protein coding lnc-ZDHHC2-1:2
Source: RNAcentral